UAGCGGCGGACGGGUGAGUAAUGCUUAGGAAUCUGCCUAUUAGUGGGGGACAACAUCUCGAAAGGGAUGCUAAUACCGCAUACGUCCUACGGGAGAAAGCAGGGGAUCUUCGGACCUUGCGCUAAUAGAUGAGCCUAAGUCGGAUUAGCUAGUUGGUGGGGUAAAGGCCUACCAAGGCGACGAUCUGUAGCGGGUCUGAGAGGAUGAUCCGCCACACUGGGACUGAGACACGGCCCAGACUCCUACGGGAGGCAGCAGUGGGGAAUAUUGGACAAUGGGGGGAACCCUGAUCCAGCCAUGCCGCGUGUGUGAAGAAGGCCUUAUGGUUGUAAAGCACUUUAAGCGAGGAGGAGGCUACUUUAGUUAAUACCUAAGAUAGUGGACGUUACUCGCAGAAUAAGCACCGGCUAACUCUGUGCCAGCAGCCGCGGUAAUACAGAGGGUGCGAGCGUUAAUCGGAUUUACUGGGCGUAAAGCGUGCGUAGGCGGCUUAUUAAGUCGGAUGUGAAAUCCCCGAGCUUAACUUGGGAAUUGCAUUCGAUACUGGUGAGCUAGAGUAUGGGAGAGGAUGGUAGAAUUCCAGGUGUAGCGGUGAAAUGCGUAGAGAUCUGGAGGAAUACCGAUGGCGAAGGCAGCCAUCUGGCCUAAUACUGACGCUGAGGUACGAAAGCAUGGGGAGCAAACAGGAUUAGAU
Molecule: ribosomal RNA, 694 nt
Filed under: Acinetobacter baumannii
Lineage: Bacteria; Pseudomonadati; Pseudomonadota; Gammaproteobacteria; Moraxellales; Moraxellaceae
Description: bacterial SSU rRNA
Rfam family: Bacterial small subunit ribosomal RNA
Source: RNAcentral